GCGAAUCUCGAAAGCCUGUCUCAGUUCGGAUUGGAGGCUGAAACCCGCCUCCAUGAAGUUGGAUUCGCUAGUAAUCGCGCAUCAGCCAUGGCGCGGUGAAUACGUUCCCGGGUCUUGUACACACCGCCCGUCACACCAUGGGAGUCAGUAACGCCCGAAGUCAGUGACCUAACCGAAAGGGAGGAGCUGCCGAAGGCGGGACGGAUGACUGGGGUGAAGUCGUAACAAGGUAAC
This 234-nucleotide ribosomal RNA is filed under the name uncultured bacterium. RNAcentral describes it as "partial 16S ribosomal RNA". It matches the Rfam family "Bacterial small subunit ribosomal RNA", at positions 1267 to 1500 of the family's 1533-position model. The record is from RNAcentral.